This 849-nucleotide ribosomal RNA is filed under the name uncultured Bacillota bacterium. Its description in RNAcentral is "bacterial SSU rRNA". It matches the Rfam family "Bacterial small subunit ribosomal RNA", at positions 70 to 896 of the family's 1533-position model. The record is from RNAcentral. Lineage: Bacteria; Bacillati; Bacillota.
AAAGUUCCUUUCGGGGAGCGAGUAGAGUGGCGCACGGGUGAGUAACACGUAGGUAAUCUACCUUUGGAUUGGGAAUAACCACCGGAAACGGUGGCUAAUACCGAAUAAUGCAGCGGCACCUAAUGGUGACAGUUGUUAAAGCGGGGGAUCGCAAGACCUCGCGUCUAAAGAGGAGCCUGCGGCGGAUUAGCUAGUUGGUAAGGUAACGGCUUACCAAGGCGAUGAUCCGUAGCCGGCCUGAGAGGGCGGUCGGCCACACUGACACUGACAUACGGGUCAGACUCCUACGGGAGGCAGCAGUCGGGAAUUUUGGGCAAUGGGCGAAAGCCUGACCCGGCAACGCCGCGUGAAGGAUGAAAUCCCUCGGGAUGUAAACUUCGCAAGGACGGGAAGAAUAAGUCGGUGCCAACACCAUCGACGAUGACGGUACUGUUUGUAAGCUCCGGCUAACUCCGUGCCAGCAGCCGCGGUAAUACGGGGGGAGCAAGCGUUGUUCGGAUUUACUGGGCGUAAAGGGCGUGUAGGCGGCCACCGCAAGUCGACUGUGAAAUCUCCGGGCUUAACUCGGAAAGGUCAGCCGAUACUGCGGGGCUAGAGUGCAGAAGGGGCAACUGGAAUUCUCGGUGUAGCGGUGAAAUGCGUAGAUAUCGAGAGGAACACCUGCGGCGAAGGCGGGUUGCUGGGCUGACACUGACGCUGAAACGCGAAAGCUAGGGGAGCGAACGGGAUUAGAUACCCCGGUAGUCCUAGCCUUAAACGAUGAAUGCUUGGUGUCUGGGGUUUUAUAGUCCCCGGGUGCCGUCGCUAACGCUUUAAGCAUUCCGCCUGGGGAGUACGGUCGCAAGACUG